AUAUCGGAGAAAUGGAUUUCUUCUGCUUCUUGCUCUGUUGAGCCUUCUUCCUCAUGUGGGUCCGCCAGUAGUUCUUGAUCUCGUUAUCGGUCCGACCAGGUAACUUUCUUGCAAUUCUCGACCAUCUAUACAUAAAUUGCAUGAUCUAUAUAUUUUAGUUAUUUAGUAAUAUUAAAUGGAGAAUAAUCGAAAGAGGGGUGAAAAGUGAAACCUGUUUCCCCAUUUCGAGUGGAGUUCAAGAACGAGUCGUUCUUCAUGAGAAGUCAUCUUGACUUUUUUUAGGCCCGGGUGAAGGUAGUUAACCCAACGGAGCCUGCAACUUUUUCCUGUUCUUUUCAGACCUAUUUACAAACAGAACAGAAUUUAAUUAAAUUUAUUUUAUUAUCGGCUCGUGCAUGGUGGGUAGUACCAUGCGCGUGGGCGUUGCACAAAAAAACAAGCAUACCUAUAUAGUGUCUCCCGCCAAACCCUUCAAACCUGAUACUUUUGCUAUGAAAUCCCAUCGGCGAUCGCCGAACAAGUUCACGUAAAGUACCAGCUGGGCAUCUUCCUCUUCUGUCCAUGGCCCUUUUCUUGCUUCUUCUUUAUUCUCCAUUUUUUACCUCUCUCUCUCUAGAUCUUCUUUCUCUCUCUCUCUCUAUAUAUACCUCUCUCUUUCUUGAUUGACUCUAGUAUACGGAGAUUAUGGAGCGUGUGCUACUCAUAUAUAUAUAGUAAUGAUUUCUCGGCCAAUACGGAAGGUUUACAGAAUAUACUGUUUCUUAAUUUGCAAGAGACUAAUUAAUAUAUGAGAAAAUUGGGUAUGAUAGAUACGUGACCAUGGAUCCUCGCCGUACAUUUUAUCUGCGAUUUGAUUAUUUGAUGAUUGAUGAUAGGACAAUAUGCCUAUACAACAUAUGUGAUGCAAAAGCCGCCCCACUACAAAGUAAGUGCUUUUUUUUCCCUUUCCUUCUUUUGGCUUUAGUUAUUUGAAUACUAGUGGAUGAUAUGUUGAUUUAACUUUCGCAACUUGCUAUCCAUUUUUUUUUCAGUUUUACCAUUUACCAUGCUUUUGUGGUGUUCCAUUUUCUUCGAUUAAUCGGGGCUUCGCUUAUCUAAUUCAUAAUAUAUUCGCGCGCGUGUCUCUGUGUGAUAGAAGAUAAUAAGGAUGAGCAUAUUCCCCAGUCUCAACUUGGAUUCGGUAGUUUCCAUUUUUGGUUGUUUCAGCUAAACCUUUUACCGAUUAACAUAUGGUACACUUAGUGGGAAAGUUUAUAAUUAUAAAUAGGGGUUAAGGUUAAAAAUUAAAUUAGUUUAAUGAAAAUUAAUUGUAGUUAGCCAUAUAGUUAUUAUUAGUUGUAAAAAAGGAUGAAUGUUCAUCUUUUCAAGAAUCAAUUAGUCUCUCUUUAGUUUUAUCCAGUAGAAUCUGCACUGUUGAUAUAUAUAUUUACGUAAUAACAACUAUC
This 1445-nucleotide long non-coding RNA is filed under the name Erythranthe guttata (spotted monkey flower). RNAcentral describes it as "long non-coding RNA (EGUT_LNC002307)". Lineage: Eukaryota; Viridiplantae; Streptophyta; Magnoliopsida; Lamiales; Phrymaceae. The record is from RNAcentral.